GUAUCUCAACAGGCCUAUUUCUCCUGAGGGGGUGUCUGGGAAUGACUGGUUCCGGUUAUUCGCUGCUGCUAUAAUGGCAGCUGCUGUACACUACCAGUACAGAUAGGACAACGAGCUAUUUAUACAAGUCUUUACAACGGGUGCAUCCGUUUAUUAAUAAGUAAUUCUACGGUCAAAAAUAAACGUUUGGAGGCCACUCUAAAGAUUAACCCUCUAUCCUGACACCUCUGGAGCAGUGCUGCAGGAUUUGUCGCUCCACCCUCCUGCGUCUGUCUGUGUCUCCUCUCCCUGCUCCAGUACAGUCUGUGAUGUCAUGAGGGACUCUCUUUUCCAUUAUCCUCUAUUCUCCAUGGCCUCUCUCCGAGCUGCACCUCUCCGCCCUGGACCGUCGCCUAGCGACCGUGCUCAGAACUGUGAGCCGUUGCCAGGAAGGACAGUGUAGCCGCCAUGGAGGCGAGGAUGAUGUCACUCAUUAUACGACCUUCGUUACACCUGUGACACAUGCAGGGUACACUCUUAGAAAAAAGGGUUCUUUGGCAGUCCCCAUAGGAGAACCC
Long non-coding RNA from Coregonus clupeaformis (lake whitefish), 557 nucleotides. RefSeq lists it as uncharacterized. The transcript is spliced from 3 exons. The record is from RefSeq and is a predicted model, not a curated record. NCBI's taxonomy places the organism in Eukaryota, Metazoa, Chordata, Actinopteri, Salmoniformes, Salmonidae.